UACAGAGGGUGCAAGCGUUAAUCGGAGUUACUGGGCGUAAAGGGCGCGUAGGCGGUGAAUUGGGUGUGGUGUGAAAGCCCCGAGCUUAACUUGGGAAUUGCGCUUGUGACUGGCGUGCUGGAGUGUGGCAGAGGGAGGUGGAAUUCCACGUGUAGCAGUGAAAUGCGUAGAGAUGUGGAGGAACACCGAUGGCGAAGGCAGCCUCCUGGGCCAGCACUGACGCUCAUGCACGAAAGCGUGGGGAGCAAACAGG
RNAcentral lists this ribosomal RNA (253 nucleotides) under uncultured bacterium. RNAcentral describes it as "partial 16S ribosomal RNA". It matches the Rfam family "Bacterial small subunit ribosomal RNA", at positions 524 to 776 of the family's 1533-position model. The record is from RNAcentral.